RNAcentral lists this ribosomal RNA (380 nucleotides) under uncultured eukaryote. Its description in RNAcentral is "partial 18S ribosomal RNA". It matches the Rfam family "Eukaryotic small subunit ribosomal RNA", at positions 592 to 976 of the family's 1831-position model. The record is from RNAcentral.
CAAUAGCGUAUAUUAAAGUUGUUGCGGUUAAAAAGCUCGUAGUUGGAUUUCUGCCGAGGACGACCGGUCCGCCCUCCGGGUGAGUAUCUGGCUCGGCCUGGGCAUCUUCUUGGAGAACGUAGCUGCACUUGGCUGUGUGGUGCGGUAUUCAGGACUUUUACUUUGAGGAAAUUAGAGUGUUUCAAGCAGGCACACGCCUUGAAUACAUUAGCAUGGAAUAAUAAGAUAGGACCUCGGUUCUAUUUUGUUGGUUUCUAGAUCUGAGGUAAUGAUUAAUAGGGAUAGUUGGGGGCAUUCGUAUUUAACUGUCAGAGGUGAAAUUCUUGGAUUUGUUAAAGACGGACUACUGCGAAGGCAUUUGCCAAGGAUGUUUUCAUUGA